GUGGGACCCGGGAUCCCUCCCGCUGCCUCCGCCCCCGCCCCCGCUCCCGCUCCAUCCCUUCCGAGGACCGCGCGGCCAGGUCCCCGACCGGAUUCCAGGAGACGCGUCCUUAUCUGACGCCUGCGGGCUGAGCAGAGACGAUGCUUGGAAACAUCCGAUUCACCUGGGGAUCGGAGGCCGCGGGAACCCACCUAAACCCCGCAGGGGCUGCGCCUCUUGGGCUCCGCGGCCAAAGUCUGCCGGGCUGUCGGAGGUGGUUUGGAAGUGGCAUCGCCUAUGGCCAAGACCGCGGGUUCUGCGGACAGAGAGGAGCCCUGGGUUCGCUUUCUGCCUCAUCCAUUUUCCAGCUAGGUGACCUUGGGCAAGCAGGAUAGCCUGGAUCUUCUUCCCACGUGGCAGCUGGGUCCCAGGAAGGACAUUCUGAGAGAUCAAGCCCUGAUGUAUACGCACUUCUCAAGCCUCUGCUUGAGUCGCACUUGCCGAUGACUAAGGCCCUGGGACCUCAAGUACAAUGCUGGGAAGAAGAGUUGACCCAGACAUUUUUGCCUUGCUCCUGAUUUCAAAAGGGAUAUUUCAAACAUUUCACCUUGAAGAAUGAUAUUUGCUGUAAUUAUUUGGUAAAAACUCUUUAUCAGAUUUGUCACUGUGGCUAAGCGCAGGUCAGUUAUCUUCAAUUUAGAAGAUCCUUCUUACCUCUGCUGGCCACCAAAUGGCCCUUCGAUUCUGGCCUUCCCUCCUAACAGUGAUGUACUGACGCCUGGGUACCAGGUACAGCGCCUGGAGGUCAACAGUAGGCCUGAAGAAGCCCAGCCAUUGGAGGUCUAGCUGGUUGUCAAUCCACAUCCCUUUUCUCCCACUCAAAACUCACUUUGUCUAAAACACUCUUCCUGAUUACCAGCCUGUGAUCCACCCUGAGUGCGGGGACCACAUCUUUUCAUCUCUCUAUCCCCAGGGCCCAGCCCAAAGCCUGCACAGAGAAGUUGCUCAAAAAUGCUUGUGAAACUGAGUUUGCCCAACCCAAUUCUGAGCUCUUUCUUGGCUCAGUUGAUCCUGAUUUUUAAAGUCGUUUCUCCAAAACGCUCUUGAGCCUUUUUUUGUAUGCGGCACAUGCAUCUGCUGUGUCUCACAAGACAGACAGUGGUUGCUUUGCAGAUAAGAACUGUGUCUACGGAGGAGUUUCUUUUGACUUUCCAAUUUCAGAGGCUGUCCGACACUAGCCCAAAGCCCCUUCAGCGUCUUGUCCAUCUGUGUUCUCAUCCACACUCCUACUCACAAGUUGGAAACUCUAGGUAAGCCUCACUCUUCAAGGUUUCCAGGAGGCCACACUGCGCCGUGCUUUUAUGCCAUACCUUUGCUCGUAGCAUGCCCUCUGCAACCCUCUUCUCAUGAACGCCCUCUCUGUUUUUCACAUGGUACCCAACUGUCAAAUCCUUGGUGAAGCCACCCUUACUCUCUUCCUUCCCGUCCACAUCCCUUGGGGGUCACUCUUUCCUCCUCUGUGCUCUUCAGAUGUUGUAUACGUGCCUUUUUAAUUUUUAUUUAAUUACUUUUAACUGAGGCAACGUUGGUUUAUAACCUCAUACAAAUUUCAGGUGUACCUCUUUCUAUUUCAAUUUCUGUGUAGACUACCGUGCCUUUUUAAAAAAACCUUUUUUUUUAACCCCCAAAUGCUUCACUAUCUAUUUCCUAAAAUCAGGACAAUUCUCUUACAGAGCUACAGUACUGUUGUCAAAAUCAGGCUAUUUAACAUGCAUACAAAUACAUUUUCUAAUCUACACUUCAUUUUAAAAUUUUACCCAUCAUUCCUUUUUUUAACUGGAUCGUUAACAAUUGUCACGUAGUUUUAUAGAUGUUUACAUUUCUCUGCCUCCCGUAUGCUUGCACGCACACAAUGCCCCUAAGAGUCUGGGCUUGUAUCUUUUAUCCGCAAUUCCAGCAAGGUGCCUUGUCAGUGAGUUUGUCUUCUGUGUGGUGUGCACGCGUGUCUGUGUUUAAUUAACGCGGUUAUAUGGCUCGUCUUCAGUUCCUCUGUCUUCCCAGCGUGGCCCUCCCUUCCUCCCCCUGCAUCAUGCUCCGUCAUUCUGGGGACCCACGCCCUCCCUCUCUCGCUAAACCCUUGCACUAACCUCAUUUCUGAGCCUUCAUUCAUACGAUGUAGUCAGUGACUCGUGGCGGCUUGUGGUGUCCCUCUUCCCAGGGAUAGACACUGAGGGAUAUAAAAAAUGAAUGCUACGCCCCUCCUGUCCUCCAGGGCCUCCACUUCUCAUGUUCUGUGUGUUUUCUUUUCUCGCCCAAACGCCAGCACCACCUGUGCCCACUGUCUGUGCUCGAUGACCGCUGGUUCGGUGAAUGAAUGCAAGCACAAAACGGUGGCCCUCGAGAUGAAGAGCCCAGGGUUCGACCACUCUCCAGUCGGGCCACUUGGCCACAUAAUCAAUCACUGGACACUAUGUUCCAAACCAGGGGUAAUGAGGCAGCUGCCGCCGUGUCCACUUCCUGUUCUGGGGCCUCAGCGUCUGAAGAGGGCAGACAGCGCGCUCAGGACCUGCCCCUGCCCCGGCCCCUUCGUAUCACGAAUUCGCUCGUCCUGGAUGGUUCAGCACUUCACAUUUUCAAAAUUUCAGCCAUUGUGUUUAUUGAAAGUGCAUCGACCACAAAACACCGCAGUUCACCUCUCUCUCUUUCUCGCUCUCUCUCUCGUGGAUGGGAAGAUUAUUCUGAAUCUAUGAAGGCAUUUAUUCACAGUGGCUUCUGAGUCAGGCUCUGCACCUACUUCAAUUUUAGAUGUUUUUCUGAAUCUCCUGUUGUGUGUGGCAGUUCAGGAACAGACACUGUGAGACGGAGAGGGGGACUCUGGAUCCGGAUUCAGGCAGCCCGGGUUCAAAUCCUAGGCUUUCCCCUCCCCGUGCCUAGCUGAGUGACCGUGGGCACGUCAUUUCACUUCCAGAAGCCUCGCCUUCGUGGUCCAUCAAAUGAAAUACUAUCUCCCUCUCCAGAGUUGUUGUAAGGAUGAGCUGAAAUGGCGUGUCUGAGCACAGCACAGAGCCGUCUCCCGUUUGUGUACAUUUCCUUCAGUUCAUGCACGUGGCUUCUUUUCCAGGUGAAUUCCAGACUUCGGGAGUUUGUAGACUAGGAAAAUCUCAAAACACAUUUUGAUGAGCAUACUUUUGCCAAGUUUUUAUUUUGCCAACUUUUAAUGUUGCCAAGUAAGAACAGUAUUAAAAAAACCAGCACAACUCACCUUCAUCCAUUUCCACUAAAUUUCAUAAAAGAAUAUUUAAAAAAAAAUCAAGAGGACAUCGUUACGAGUCAAAAAUGGAUGACGUUUAGCUUUACGAAAACCUCUCUGUAUUGCUCUUACUCAUCUUAUCUUAGAGAUGAGUGAACACUUGGUCUGCAGAUCAGUAUUUGGGAGCCGUCGCUCAUCCCGGACUCGCAGGGCUUUCCAGACUAGCGGUUCCCCGCUGUAGACGCCUCACCCCGAGGUGGGGAGGCGGAGGCGGAGGCGGAGGAUGAGCGAGCAGCACGUCUUUCGGUGCAAAGCGUAAGGAACUGCUGGGGUGUGAUCGCCGAGCCCAGGGACCUCGGGAUGUUCAGAGACGAGAGCGGUUGUGAGAAACUGAUGUGCACGAUAUAAAGUAUGUGAAGAGAACAGAGGCAGAACAUUUCCUGAGUUCCAGGUGGAAUACUGGCCGUGUUUGCAUUUUGGGUUUUUAAAAAAAGAUUGCAAGCAAGCGAUCAAAACUUGCCACAUCCGUCACUGAAGAGUGUGCGGGCUCGUGACGGUUUCACUCUGACGCAGCUCCCAAUUGCCUGCGGUUUUUCAGACACAUCCCCCUACAAUAUCCUUUGGGGUCAAAACAUUCCAUAGCUGGUCUAAGGGCAGAGGUGAAUCGUUUUUGAGAAGUUUGGGCUCACUCUGCUCAGCUGGUUUUGCUUAGGGGAGUGUGGAAAGAUCCCUAGGGGUUCUUUUCUAGGAGAAAAAAAUUACACACGCACACCACAGACACACACAUCAUUUGGGGCCUUUUAAAGUCGGGUUAACUCCUACCUGGGGAGGGAACCUCGGCCAGACGGGAAAUCUUAGUGGAUGACAAUUGAACUGCACUGACCCAUCUGGUGUCCGGAAGGAGGCGCAGAGCAGGCCUGUGCCAACUCUGGGUCCACGUGGGAGCACGCUGCCCUGUGCUGGGGGCCUGCUCCUGAGCCCCAGGUACUGCUGAUUUUGUAGAAUAAAAGUCACAAGCACUUACUAUGUGUGAGUCCUCUGUGAAGUACCUCGCUUCUAUUGUCUUGUCUAACCCUCACAUAGCAUUUUGGGCCAAGCCCUAAUCAGAAGGCCCAUUUCACAGAUGAGAAAACUGAGGCUUACACAGCAUUAGGCAAAGGUGUCCAAAGUCGCACUGCGGCCCGUGAGCGGUAGAGCUGGGACAUAAGCGCAGGUCUUUCUGAACAGUAACUACUAGGAUGUUUAGCUCCUAAAAUCUGAGGUCUGAAAUGAGUGGGAAAGGAGCUUGAACCACCCGUCUGAGGUGGCAUUUGGAAAAGGAGACCUUGCCCACCACACACACACACGCACAGGCUCUUUAAACUCUCUGAAGCACUCCUAAAACACACAGCGUUUCCCCUCCUCCCUGUAAAAAGGCAACCUAGGAAACUUGCGAGAGAAUAAUUUAGCAGCGUCUAUCCAAAGCCUCAAAAUAUUUAUGCCCUUUGACCCAGAAAUUGCCCUGCUAGGAAUCUGCGCCGUAACCAGGAUGUUCCAGGCUUCUCCGGCCCAUGGGUACAAGGGCUGUGCUCAAGCGUCACCUCCUUAGCGGACUGUCUUGCCCCGGCUUUGCCCUCAGUGACUAAAACACCAGCUGACUCACUGAGGGCCCUCCACAAAGGUUCCCGAAGGAACAGAUGAGCUUAUGUUACAUAAAUACCUCCAAUCUCAAGACUCUGCUCAGGCAGCAGAUCGAGUCUUUUACAAAUGUCCCCCUCCCUCACGCUGCUCAGGUUCCCUUGAAGUUUCCAUAAGGUGGUCCUGCUCAUCGCGCAGCACGGCUGCCGGCAGGUAGACGGGGACACUCAGGCAUGUCCCUUGAGGCCAGAGUCCACAAAGCCUGGCCUCCCCAGGACCCUCCAAGGAGCCGCUCCUGCGGUGUCACCGGAACCUGCCGUCCUCCCCA
Long non-coding RNA from Equus caballus (horse), 5174 nucleotides. The record is from Ensembl. Lineage: Eukaryota; Metazoa; Chordata; Mammalia; Perissodactyla; Equidae.